UGAUAGUUUGAGUCGGGGUCAAUCGUUUCUGCACAUGUCGGUGAGUGCGAUGAAAGAAGUAUAGACCCCAAAUCGAACGAUGUCCUCACAGCCGGCAGUUCGUCAUCAACAAUAUUCGCCAUCUUCAUUUUUUCCGGUUUCUGUCUUUUCUGUGAGCAGUACGUCCAUUGAAAAGAAUGGGAUGCUUGUCCAAGAUGCGGCUAAAAUAAGGAAUAUUUGCCGGAAUCAAUAUUGAAUUCUUUAGUCCAAGACAUUGCUACACCAUACUCUUUCAUCACCCAUACACAAUAAUAGUUUCCAAUGGUACUCCAAUGAUAAUUCAUCUGGAUCUAUGUUAUAGAAAGUUAUUCUAGGAACUUAGCUACAUGAAGACUUAGCGGACCACAUAAUUUAGAUGCACAAUCUGUAUGACCUUAAAAUCAUUCGUCAAUGGAUCAAGCCCAAACCCAAUGUUAUACAUAAAUGGACCAUGUGACUGAAAUGUGACACGAACCGGUGGAAGGGCCAUCAACUUUUGAAUCAAUGGGUUCCAUAGAUAAAAGUCAUUGGUAAUAGCAAAGUGAUUGUCCGAGAGGCAUAUAACCCCAUUACGAUUAUCCUAAAAUAAUAGAUUGCAAAGUGAAAGCUGGAGCUUUGUAUAUUCAUCAAACAUUCAAUUAUCAUAAUGCAGUGAGUAAUGCUAGAGUAUGGCAUAGCGACAACUUGGACUAAACAUUUCAAUAUUGAUGUGAGCAAAUUUUACCAAAGCGUAGUUGUUCUACUGACAAGGGAUAUUUGGCAUCUUGUGAUUUCGAAGGCCAGCGAGGACUUUGGAAUCUCAAAAUUUGUGGCUCUAGAGAUUCAUGGUAUAAGGACUCGUUUAAUGCAAAUGCUUACACGGAGAGCCUAGUUUUACAUGGGUGAAACCACCUGUUUUGCAUGGAGAAGACAGUGAAGCUGAUAAAAAAUCCGAGAAAGAGAGUCGAAAAGCAAAGGAGAUUUUUCUUUCAAGGUCACAACGUGGCUGGUCUGGAAAGCCAAAAUACGGAAAUGAUGAGAGGUGAACUUUCGAAAGAGUAGAAAUGGCAUGUAAUCUCUAUCCCUGCUUCUAGUUAGGUUGACUCUAUUUAGAGUGUAUAAAUUGUAUAUUGAUGUAGUUUAGAACUUCCUUUGGGAAGAUUUAACUGAAUCAUGAUGCAUGGAGAAUUUACGCGUUGAUAUAGGUUGUAGAUGUUAUGCUGAUAAUAUUGCUCAUCUUUUGAUGCCAUUAUAUCUUUUUAAAACCUGUUAUGAGGGAUCAGCCACGAGUUUCCAAGAAUAUAUUUUUGGGUUAUGUUGUUGGAUUCCUAGCCAAGCAUUUAGAACUACUAAUCUGGAUAUGAGUGGGAAAUUGUAACUAUCUUUUUAAUUCAUAUUCUUAUCAAGAGGGCUCCCUCUUGGCAAGGGCCAUGAGCUUUCCCUUGGUAAGUAUCUCAAAAUUUGUGAAACGAUAGACAAAAGGUCAAUACAAUGAUCAAUAGACAGAGCUUACUGCCCUUGUCAAAAGGAGACCCAUAUUAUAGCUUUUUUCUAGAAUAUAUAUAUAUAUAUAUAUGUAUAUGUGUAUAAAUGUUCAUGACCUGCAAUACAGUAUUACUAUAAUUUAGUUAGUAUUGGUACUCUGGUGCUGCAUGUUUGCUUCUUGAAGUAAGGUGCUGUUUGUGCGCUUGAUACUGUGAUUUUUUCCACUUGCAAUAUAAAACUUUAUAUUAAUCAUAAGCAACAUUACAUUCAUCAUUCUCCACAUUUAACAACCAAGUAGGAAUCACAUCCCACUCCACCAGCAUAUGACACUCCCCCAAAACUCUUUAUCCAAAGAGCAUGAACUACCCUGUUACACACUCUACAUCCAUUGCAGCACUGUCUCCCCAUGAUGCUGCAAGAGUUUAUCAAUAUCUUCAUAAACUGUCACUAAAACAGCCUCUGAAACAAACAUCUUCAUCGUAGUUUAGAACUUAAAAUGAAGUAAUCUUUUAAGCGAGAACAUUUCAUUUAGCAUUGAACACUAAUCAUUGGAAAAGAAAUUUAAAAAAAAAAAUUAAUUUGCAUUUGGCACUUAUUAUUUUCAGCUCUUCUUUUUUGAUAAACUACUUCUAUGGACUUAGAGAGAAUGGAACUGUGCAUUUAUAUUUUUAUUUUGAUUCUCGU
Molecule: long non-coding RNA, 2166 nt
Organism: Cornus florida
Lineage: Eukaryota; Viridiplantae; Streptophyta; Magnoliopsida; Cornales; Cornaceae
Exons: 3
Source: RefSeq, a predicted model, not a curated record